RNAcentral lists this ribosomal RNA (1015 nucleotides) under Curtobacterium sp. RNAcentral describes it as "bacterial SSU rRNA". It matches the Rfam family "Bacterial small subunit ribosomal RNA", at positions 51 to 1068 of the family's 1533-position model. Lineage: Bacteria; Bacillati; Actinomycetota; Actinomycetes; Micrococcales; Microbacteriaceae. The record is from RNAcentral.
AACCAUGCAAGUCGAACGAUGAUGCCCAGCUUGCUGGGUGGAUUAGUGGCGAACGGGUGAGUAACACGUGAGUAACCUGCCCCUGACUCUGGGAUAAGCGUUGGAAACGACGUCUAAUACUGGAUAUGACUACUGGCCGCAUGGUCUGGUGGUGGAAAGAUUUUUUGGUUGGGGAUGGACUCGCGGCCUAUCAGCUUGUUGGUGAGGUAAUGGCUCACCAAGGCGACGACGGGUAGCCGGCCUGAGAGGGUGACCGGCCACACUGGGACUGAGACACGGCCCAGACUCCUACGGGAGGCAGCAGUGGGGAAUAUUGCACAAUGGGCGAAAGCCUGAUGCAGCAACGCCGCGUGAGGGAUGACGGCCUUCGGGUUGUAAACCUCUUUUAGUAGGGAAGAAGGGAGCCGCAAGGCUUUUGACGGUACCUGCAGAAAAAGCACCGGCUAACUACGUGCCAGCAGCCGCGGUAAUACGUAGGGUGCAAGCGUUGUCCGGAAUUAUUGGGCGUAAAGAGCUCGUAGGCGGUUUGUCGCGUCUGCUGUGAAAUCCCGAGGCUCAACCUCGGGCUUGCAGUGGGUACGGGCAGACUAGAGUGCGGUAGGGGAGAUUGGAAUUCCUGGUGUAGCGGUGGAAUGCGCAGAUAUCAGGAGGAACACCGAUGGCGAAGGCAGAUCUCUGGGCCGUAACUGACGCUGAGGAGCGAAAGCAUGGGGAGCGAACAGGAUUAGAUACCCUGGUAGUCCAUGCCGUAAACGUUGGGCGCUAGAUGUAGGGACCUUUCCACGGUUUCUGUGUCGUAGCUAACGCAUUAAGCGCCCCGCCUGGGGAGUACGGCCGCAAGGCUAAAACUCAAAGGAAUUGACGGGGGCCCGCACAAGCGGCGGAGCAUGCGGAUUAAUUCGAUGCAACGCGAAGAACCUUACCAAGGCUUGACAUACACCGGAAACGGCCAGAGAUGGUCGCCCCCUUGUGGUCGGUGUACAGGUGGUGCAUGGUUGUCGUCAGCUCGUGUCGU